GUGUUACAUGCCUACAUGUAUUUGUCUUUACCCACAGUUAGCCCUAUACGGCCUUUACUUGGUCAAGGACUGUGUCACGAAGGAUGUUUUAUGCGUCAAGUCGAGCUGAAUACCAUACGGAGGAGAGCUUAGAGAAAGGGCGCGACCUGAUCUCCAGGAUAGUGUCCCAAGACAAAUUAUUGUCAACACGAUUUCUCGGAAACCCUAACUUGUACAACCCGAGACCAGCUGUCCAGGAGGACAAAUUGCCCAGGGUCAUGAUGUACAUCCGGGUUCAACUGGGCCAGAAAAAGUAGCCUACAUUCUACAAGUACGAAUGGCUCGUCGUUUAUUUACCAAGGACAUCAUAACAGUACUCGACAACACCACACAUCGUACGUCAAUUCGGUUAGCCCUAUACGGCCUUUACUUGGUCAAGGACUGUGUCACGAAGGAUGUUUUAUGCGUCAAGUCGAGCUGAAUACCAUACGGAGGAGAGCUUAGAGAAAGGGCGCGACCUGAUCUCCAGGAUAGUGUCCCAAGACAAAUUAUUGUCAACACGAUUUCUCGGAAACCCUAACUUGUACAACCCGAGACCAGCUGUCCAGGAGGACAAAUUGCCCAGGGUCAUGAUGUACAUCCGGGUUCAAUUGGACCAGAAAAAGGUUUCAAUUUGUUUCCUUUCCUUUUGUGUGCUUGUCCCAGUUCUUUUUCUAUCUUUUUUCUUUUCUUUUGGUUGCAUUUACCAGCUGUUAACACAUAAAGCAGUAUUUAUAACACGCGGCUUUGUACUUGUGCUGUUCUUUUCAUACACAAAAGUGAAAAUUAUAAGU
Long non-coding RNA from Patiria miniata (bat star), 812 nucleotides. RefSeq lists it as uncharacterized. The record is from RefSeq and is a predicted model, not a curated record. The transcript has 3 exons. Lineage: Eukaryota; Metazoa; Echinodermata; Asteroidea; Valvatida; Asterinidae.